AAUGAACGCUGGCGGCAUGCCUAACACAUGCAAGUCGAACGAGACCUUCGGGUCUAGUGGCGCACGGGUGCGUAACGCGUGGGAAUCUGCCCUUGGGUUCGGAAUAACAGUUAGAAAUGACUGCUAAUACCGGAUGAUGUCGUAAGACCAAAGAUUUAUCGCCCAAGGAUGAGCCCGCGUAGGAUUAGCUAGUUGGUGAGGUAAAAGCUCACCAAGGCGACGAUCCUUAGCUGGUCUGAGAGGAUGAUCAGCCACACUGGGACUGAGACACGGCCCAGACUCCUACGGGAGGCAGCAGUGGGGAAUAUUGGACAAUGGGCGAAAGCCUGAUCCAGCAAUGCCGCGUGAGUGAUGAAGGCCUUAGGGUUGUAAAGCUCUUUUACCCGGGAUGAUAAUGACAGUACCGGGAGAAUAAGCUCCGGCUAACUUCGUGCCAGCCGCCGCGGUAA
This 449-nucleotide ribosomal RNA is filed under the name uncultured bacterium. RNAcentral's name for it is "partial 16S ribosomal RNA". It matches the Rfam family "Bacterial small subunit ribosomal RNA", at positions 29 to 523 of the family's 1533-position model. The record is from RNAcentral.